GGACGACGGCUGGCGGCGUGGAUUAGGCAUGCAAGUCGGACGGUAGGGCUUUAUCGUAAGAUAGAGUUUGAGAGUGGCGAACGGGUGAGUAACACGUAGGAAUCUACCCUUAAGACGGGGACAACCCGAGGGAAACUUGGGCUAAUACCGGAUGAGAGUGCGAGAGAUUGCAUUUAAAAGGAUGGCGAAAGUUGUCGCUUAGGGAUGAGCCUGCGGUCUAUUAGUUAGUUGGUGAGGUAAGAGCUCACCAAGGCGAUGAUAGAUAGGCGGCCUUAACGGGUGGUCGCCCACACUGGGAUUGAGAUACGGCCCAGACUCCUACGGGAGGCAGCAGUGGGGAAUAUUGCACAAUGGGCGAAAGCCUGAUGCAGCGACGCCGCGUGAGGGAUGACGGCCUUCGGGUUGUAAACCUCUUUCAGCAGGGAAGAAGCGAAAGUGACGGUACCUGCAGAAGAAGCACCGGCUAACUACGUG
RNAcentral lists this ribosomal RNA (474 nucleotides) under uncultured bacterium. RNAcentral's name for it is "bacterial SSU rRNA". It matches the Rfam family "Bacterial small subunit ribosomal RNA", at positions 27 to 507 of the family's 1533-position model. The record is from RNAcentral.